Molecule: long non-coding RNA, 1459 nt
Filed under: Phasianus colchicus (ring-necked pheasant)
Lineage: Eukaryota; Metazoa; Chordata; Aves; Galliformes; Phasianidae
Description: lncRNA (ENSPCLG00000004953.1)
Source: RNAcentral
AUCACAGCGGCUUUCCCGCCUCUCCUUCACUGCAGCCUUCCCCCCUCCAAUCUCUGCAGCCUUCUCUCCUUCCCUCUCCUUGCUGCAUCCUUCCAGCCUCCCCGCGCUGCAACCUUCCCUCCCUCUGCUCUGAUUGGCUGUGCCCGUCCCGAGGCUGUUUGCACCGCGGUUCCUCACAGCACCCGCACCUCGAACCGGGCUGUUUAUCCACAGUAAAACCGCUGAGCUCUGCGAGAUCGGGAUUUGCAACGUUGUUGUAGCGAGAAGAUGUUACCAAAAACGCCACAGGAAGAAAAAAAUCUUACUAAUUUUGCGUUUAUCUCGGACCCCCCGUGCUGCAGAGGGGCGCGAGCAGCACGUGUUGCGUUCCGUCCUGUUGCGUUCCUCAGCUGCGAGGAGACCCGCGGCGCUCUGCAGACAGCGACCGCGCCUCGCUGCCGCUGCUCACAGUUUGAAUAAAAGCCUCCAAAAGAUGAAGACUUGAAAACGGAUUUAUGUUGGCUGUGGAAAGCAACGGAAAUAAGAAUUAGCAGGCAAACUGAGAAAUUAUUGGUGAAAAUUGUGGGUGUCUGAAAGUAGUUAAUGAAGUAUGAAGUUGUUUCAAGUUCUCUAGAAUAGCCCCAACUCUGUGCUUGUUAACUACAUCAGACUCAUAGCAGGAAACAGAAAAGAAAAACAAGAUAAGUUUGUGGAACAGCUGUAUUAUGACUUUGGUGUUCUUUAGAUGGAAUUUUAUACUCCUUGGAGAGGAAAUCAUGCUGAAGGUCUGUACUGGACUUCAGAUUUCUAUAACAGUGCUGAAUGCUCAUAACUGAAUUUCAAUUUCCAAAUAGCAAAUGGAUAUGAAUAGAGCAAAUUCUAUUUUGUUAGAAGUCUUUAAUUACAGAAAUCUUACUGAGAUGUGUCUGAAUAAUUCAGGGUAAAUCCUGUAGGAGCACAGAGUUGAAAAGACACAGAAAGGAAUCAAAAAGCAUAUUUACUUCAGUGAAUCUGGAUUUCUUCCAGCAAAGAUGUGUACCAUGAUAUAGUGUUCUCUAUAAAAUAGUCUCUAUUUUAUUCCCAGAGCAUGAAAACAAACUGGAGGACAAAGUUUUCUGAAUUUAAUUUAACAUAGUGAAAUGUAGUACUGUAUUACCCCUAUAGCUAAGUUGAAAUCUCAUAGGACAAUGUUUGUAACCGAUUUCAUUCUCUGAAAUAUGAUAUUAAAAACAAUAUGUUGAAGUUUGUAGAUAAAGGGUCUUGCAACAUACCUAUGCCAGCCGCUUUCUGUGCAUCUAUUUUGAUCUAAGAUAAACACAGUUAAAUUGAGUCCUUACUUCCUUUGGGGUCUCAGCAUAGCAGCACCUAAUAAUAGAGUCCUGUGUUUCAUCAACAUUUUGGAUGUGAGGUUGCAAAACUUACAUACAGAGAGCAUCAAGUCAAUAGCUAGGAGAAAGUCAGCAGAGCUUAUUACCUACAG